This 440-nucleotide ribosomal RNA is filed under the name uncultured bacterium. Its description in RNAcentral is "partial 16S ribosomal RNA". It matches the Rfam family "Bacterial small subunit ribosomal RNA", at positions 338 to 795 of the family's 1533-position model. The record is from RNAcentral.
CCUACGGGAGGCAGCAGUGGGGGAUAUUGCACAAUGGGGGAAACCCUGAUGCAGCGACGCCGCGUGUGGGAAGACGGUCCUCUGGAUUGUCCACCACUGUCCCCAGGGACGAAGAUGACGGUACCUGGGGAGGAAGCUCCGGCUAACUACGUGCCAGCAGCCGCGGUAAUACGUAGGGAGCAAGCGUUGUCCGGAAUUACUGGGUGUAAAGGGAGCGUAGGCGGGAUGGCAAGUUGGGUGUUAAAUCUACCGGCUCAACUGGUAGUCGCACUCAACACUGCUAUUCUUGCGUGAAGUAGAGGCAGGCGGAAUUCCUAGUGUAGCGGUGAAAUGCGUAGAUAUUAGGAGGAACACCAGUGGCGAAGGCGGCCUGCUGGGCUUUUACUGACGCUGAGGCUCGAAAGUGUGGGGAGCAAACAGGAUUAGAUACCCGGGUAGUC